ACUCAAAGGAAUUGACGGGGGCCCGCACAAGCAGUGGAGCAUGUGGUUUAAUUCGACGCAACGCGCAGAACCUUACCCGGGCUAGAAAAGUACGGAACCCUUUAGAAAUAUCGGGGUGCUCGCAAGAGAGCCGUAAUCCAGGUGCUGCAUGGCUGUCGUCAGCUCGUGUCGUGAGAUGUUGGGUUAAGUCCCGCAACGAGCGCAACCCUUGUCCUUAGUUGCCAUCAUUUAGUUGGGCACUCUAAGGAGACUGCCGGCGUCAAGCCGGAGGAAGGUGGGGAUGACGUCAAGUCCUCAUGGCCCUUAUGUCCGGGGCUACACACGUGCUACAAUGGUCGGUACAGAACGUCGCGUACCCGCGAGGGGAAGCCAAUCGGCAAAAGCCGACCUCAGUACGGAUUGCAGUCUGCAACUCGACUGCAUGAAGCCGGAAUUGCUAGUAAUCGCUGAUCAGCAGGCAGCGGUGAAUACGUUCCCGGGCCUUGUACACACCGCCCGU
RNAcentral lists this ribosomal RNA (499 nucleotides) under uncultured bacterium. RNAcentral's name for it is "partial 16S ribosomal RNA". It matches the Rfam family "Bacterial small subunit ribosomal RNA", at positions 899 to 1397 of the family's 1533-position model. The record is from RNAcentral.